AUUUGGGGUAGGAGGAGCUAACAUGUAUUGUGAGCUCACUACACAAGAGGCAAUAUUUAAACAUGCUAUUCAUACUCUAGCAUGUAAUCCUGAGGAACAUAUAAACAUAAUUUUCUCCAUUUUGCUGAUGAAGAAACUGAGUCACAGUUUCUAACAGUUUCACUCUAUGAAGUCAUCAAGUCAGAUUGUAGGAGAAAAAGAAACGAGACUGAAACUUCCAGGGGAGAGGACCUAGUACCGUCUCUACCUGAUUGUUUUCUGUACUGCAGAAAUUAGUUGCAUACACUUCUAAUGUUUGGUCAUCAUGGCUAUCUAUGUAUAUGGAUACAGCACCAUCUCCCUAUUCCAGGCUCGCAGUGGGAAAGACGAGGCACUGGAAUGUCACCAGGGAAGGGAUAGCAGCUGUCUCUUCAUCUUUCUUUCUCUCAGGGUUCACAAAACCCUGACUCCGCUUGCGUUGCACCACACUGUAUAGAUUGCAUUUAUUUGUUUCACUUGUAAAUUCUCAACAUAUUCGACCUCAAAUGUAUCUUUAGAUGCAGUAUAUUUUUCAAAUACAAUCACUGGUGAUAACAUUCUGUCGAAUGGCAUUUUUUAAAAAUCUGAAUAACCUUCCCUUACUUCCAUAAACAUAGUAAAUAUUUCUAGUAUUCAUUUCAUACAUUAGCUAUUGGCUAAAUUAGAAUAAAUAAUGUUCUUUACUCUGACAAGAGAAUUCAAAAUGAAUCUUUAUGAAGUCAGAUAGGAUUUGGCAAUUUUUUUUUUGGUUACCUAUUUAACAUGGCAGUAAAAUCAAAUUACCAAGGUCAAUAAACUAAUUUUUGAUUUCCUCAUAUGGACCAAUUAUGCGACCUGUGUAUCAUACCUGUCACACCAAACUUAUGCCACAUAGACCAUGUAGCAGACAUGUCAUAAAGAGUCAAAAGGAAAGUGUAACACAAUAAUCAAGUUUCUAUAAUGUUAAUAAAUGUUCAUUUUUAUGGAGAAAAAAAUUAAGUUUUCAAAUUUAAGUAAAGAAAAGAAAAAAUAGACAUUUCCACUUAAAAAUUGUUGUGUUUGAAUAGUUUUGGAAAUAUAUAAACAUAGCUUUAGUGAGGACCUUUAAUUAAUACAGCUCCUUGGUGUAUUUUUGUUUUGGAUUACAGAUUAUCAAAUGGAGGUCUGAAAAUAUUCUGAUGCAUAUAUAAUAUUAUCUUCUAUUUUAAAAGUAUAAAAUACUACAAUUUACUUUAAAUCUCUACUCUGUCUUGAAGCUAAACAUAAAUGUGUCAUUUUCAAAUUAUCAUAAUUGUUUUCUUUUCAUCUUCCAUUUACAUCUGCAAAGAAAAACUUUAUUUUUACCAUAUUA
RNAcentral lists this long non-coding RNA (1348 nucleotides) under Homo sapiens (human). RNAcentral's name for it is "HSALNT0071004". Lineage: Eukaryota; Metazoa; Chordata; Mammalia; Primates; Hominidae. The record is from RNAcentral.